Molecule: non-coding RNA, 705 nt
Organism: Myodes glareolus (Bank vole)
Lineage: Eukaryota; Metazoa; Chordata; Mammalia; Rodentia; Cricetidae
Source: RefSeq, a predicted model, not a curated record
UGACCUGAAGGGUUUUCUCUGACAGGUCUGGGAGCUGCAUGACCAGGCUUGAGGCAGGCAGCAGCUGGGGUUUGGGAGGACACAGGCACGUGGCUAGCCUCCUGUGGGUGCAUGGCUGCAGAUGAGGCAGCCAUGAGAAACAGUUUGUCUUCCCAGCUGCCUCCUCCACCCUUUGCUACAGAAUCUCGGUGCCACAGCACGGUGCCAGCAGCAGAAAAAUUAAUUCAGAGUUUCCUCCAGGAUCUCCUUUAUUCUGAGUGGCCAGAACCUUUGAAAUGGCUUACCACAUUAUGACCUCAAAGAGAAGAGAAAGGUGCAGCCUCUGCCUUCAGGAGCCUGGGUUCCCACUGGAAAAGGUACAGUGCCGAGGAACCAGAGUUCAUUUGGGAAUUAGAGUGUUGCCGUGCACAAAACGGGAACAAUCAUGCAAAAUAAAAAUGACGGGACAUUUGUGUUGAGCCCCGGGGGCUGAGAAUCACCUUGGUCCAGCAGUGGGAGCAAAGGUGUCUCACGCUGAGAGAUCUCCUCACCCAGAGUUCCGAUUGUUCAGCAACAAUCACAGUAAGUGUAGGAAUCUCAUUUGUGUUGGGAGAAUUCACUUUCACGGACAAUCACUUUCCAUUUAUAUGAAUGAAGAAGCAGCAGAAGAAAAAAGGGUAGAAGAGGAAGAAUAGGAAAACUAGGAGGGAGAAGAAACGGGGGAAG